RNAcentral lists this ribosomal RNA (253 nucleotides) under uncultured bacterium. RNAcentral's name for it is "partial 16S ribosomal RNA". It matches the Rfam family "Bacterial small subunit ribosomal RNA", at positions 524 to 776 of the family's 1533-position model. The record is from RNAcentral.
GACAGAGGGUGCAAACGUUGUUCGGAAUCACUGGGCGUAAAGCGCACGUAGGCGGAUCUUUAAGUCAGGGGUGAAAUCCUGGAGCUCAACUCCAGAACUGCCUUUGAUACUGGGGAUCUCGAGUCCGGAAGAGGUGAGUGGAACUCCGAGUGUAGAGGUGAAAUUCGUAGAUAUUCGGAAGAACACCAGUGGCGAAGGCGGCUCACUGGUCCGGUACUGACGCUGAGGUGCGAAAGCGUGGGGAGCAAACAGG